This 123-nucleotide transfer RNA is filed under the name Bipolaris maydis ATCC 48331. RNAcentral's name for it is "tRNA-Thr (CGT) (tRNA-Thr-CGT-2-1)". It matches the Rfam family "tRNA". From Rfam's summary of the family: Transfer RNA (tRNA) molecules are approximately 80 nucleotides in length. Lineage: Eukaryota; Fungi; Ascomycota; Dothideomycetes; Pleosporales; Pleosporaceae. The record is from RNAcentral. RNAcentral also lists the same sequence under 1 other name.
GCCCGCUUGGCUUAGUGGUACAGCGUCGCACUCGUAAUGCGAAGAUCCGCGGUUGUAGGUCUACUCCAAGUUCGAAAACAGGUUCGUCCGACUAAUUUAUCUUAGCGAUUCCGCGAGUGGGCA